AGAGUUUGAUCAUGGCUCAGAACAAACGCUGGCGGCGUGCCUAAUACAUGCAAGUCGAACGGGGAAAGUUCUUCGGAAUGAGUACUAGUGGCGUACGGGUGAGCAACACGUGGAUAAUCUUCCUUCAGGUGGGGAAUAACGAGUCGAAAGAUUCGCUAAUACCGCAUAAGACCACAGUAACUUUGGUUACAGGGGUUAAAGACUUCGGUCGCCUUUAGAUGAGUCUGCGUCCGAUUAGCUAGUUGGUGAGGUAAUGGCUCACCAAGGCGACGAUCGGUAACUGGUCUGAGAGGACGGCCAGUCACACUGGGACUGAGACACGGCCCAGACUCCUACGGGAGGCAGCAGUAGGGAAUUUUGCACAAUGGAGGAAACUCUGAUGCAGCGACGCCGCGUGAGUGAUGAAGGCCUUCGGGUCGUAAAGCUCUGUUCUCAGGGAAUAAAAAAUGAAGGUACCUGAGGAGAAAGGACCGGCUAACUUCGUG
Molecule: ribosomal RNA, 485 nt
Filed under: uncultured bacterium
Lineage: Bacteria
Description: bacterial SSU rRNA
Rfam family: Bacterial small subunit ribosomal RNA
Source: RNAcentral